UCCGUAGGUGAACCUGCGGAAGGAUCAUUACCUAGAGUUGUAGGCUUUGCCUGCUAUCUCUUACCCAUGUCUUUUGAGUACCUUCGUUUCCUCGGCGGGUCCGCCCGCCGAUUGGACAAUUUAAACCAUUUGCAGUUGCAAUCAGCGUCUGAAAAAACUUAAUAGUUACAACUUUCAACAACGGAUCUCUUGGUUCUGGCAUCGAUGAAGAACGCAGCGAAAUGCGAUAAGUAGUGUGAAUUGCAGAAUUCAGUGAAUCAUCGAAUCUUUGAACGCACAUUGCGCCCCUUGGUAUUCCAUGGGGCAUGCCUGUUCGAGCGUCAUUUGUACCUUCAAGCUCUGCUUGGUGUUGGGUGUUUGUCUCGCCUCUGCGUGUAGACUCGCCUCAAAACAAUUGGCAGCCGGCGUAUUGAUUUCGGAGCGCAGUACAUCUCGCGCUUUGCACUCAGAACGACGACGUCCAAAAGUACAUUUUUACACUCUUGACCUCGGAUCAGGUAGGGAUACCCGCUGAACUUAAGCAUAUCAAUA
Molecule: ribosomal RNA, 531 nt
Filed under: Didymella glomerata
Lineage: Eukaryota; Fungi; Ascomycota; Dothideomycetes; Pleosporales; Didymellaceae
Description: eukaryotic LSU rRNA
Rfam family: 5.8S ribosomal RNA (bases 170-323)
Source: RNAcentral